AGUGAAUCUCCUCUCUGUGUAGAAAAAAAACUGAGUGCCUGUGUGACCAAACUCUGGACGCCGUUGCCCGAUAGCUAAACAACCGUGCGUAUGUAGAAUGAAGUUUUUAACAAACACUACGGAUUGCAGCACAGAACAAAUUAAGUGUUUAACUAAACCACAGAUUGCAGCACCAAAAUAAAAUAAAAACGCAGUUACACUGGACAAACAUACGUACAAGGCCGGUGGUGGCUGGCCCGCUCCAGGAGUCUGAGGUGCGGGAGGUUCCUCCACCCCCUCUGGACAUCGAGGGGGCCCCGUCGUACUCUGUUCGUUCCACACUGGAUUCGAGAGGUCGGGCGAGGGGCCUUCAGUACCUCAUGGACUGGGAGGGGUAUGGUCCGGAGAAGAUGCUGGGUUCCGUUGGAGGACGUAUUGGAUCUUUAUAUGCUGCGAGACUUCCACCGUCUCCAUCCGGAUCGCCCUGCACCUCGCCCUCUGGGUCGUCCCCGAGGUCUGUGUCGACGUGCUGCUGGAUACGCGUGUCGGGGGGGUACUGUCACGACUUCUGCCCAAGUCGGUCCCUCUCCUUGUUCGGGCGGUGUUCGGCGGUCGACGUCACCGAUCUUCUACCGAUCACUGAUCCAUUUUCCAUUGGUUUUGUCUCGUCUUCCUUCACACCUGGUUCCAUCAAUUACAUGUUGUGUAUUUAACCCUCUGUUUCCCCUCGUGUCCUUGUUGGAGAUUUGUUUGUAUGUUAGUGCUAUUAUGUGUUGGUGCGCAAUGGGUUUUGUACCCAUUUUAUUAUUUUUUGUAUGUUUUGGAGUUUGUUUGUCUUUCUUAUUAAAUGACUCCGUUUAUACCAA
Long non-coding RNA from Oncorhynchus tshawytscha (Chinook salmon), 845 nucleotides. RefSeq lists it as uncharacterized. The transcript has 2 exons. The record is from RefSeq and is a predicted model, not a curated record. Lineage: Eukaryota; Metazoa; Chordata; Actinopteri; Salmoniformes; Salmonidae.